UGGUUGAUCCUGCCAGUAGUCAUAUGCUU
Molecule: ribosomal RNA, 29 nt
Filed under: Ribes thacherianum
Lineage: Eukaryota; Viridiplantae; Streptophyta; Magnoliopsida; Saxifragales; Grossulariaceae
Description: partial 18S ribosomal RNA
Source: RNAcentral